GAUGAACGCUGGCGGCGUGCCUAAUACAUGCAAGUCGAGCGAACAGACUAGGAGCUUGCUCCUCUGACGUUAGCGGCGGACGGGUGAGUAACACGUGGAUAACCUACCUAUAAGACUGGGAUAACUUCGGGAAACCGGAGCUAAUACCGGAUAAUAUAUUGAACCGCAUGGUUCAAUAGUGAAAGACGGUUUUGCUGUCACUUAUAGAUGGAUCCGCGCCGCAUUAGCUAGUUGGUAAGGUAACGGCUUACCAAGGCAACGAUGCGUAGCCGACCUGAGAGGGUGAUCGGCCACACUGGAACUGAGACACGGUCCAGACUCCUACGGGAGGCAGCAGUAGGGAAUCUUCCGCAAUGGGCGAAAGCCUGACGGAGCAACGCCGCGUGAGUGAUGAAGGUCUUCGGAUCGUAAAACUCUGUUAUUAGGGAAGAACAAAUGUGUAAGUAACUAUGCACGUCUUGACGGUACCUAAUCAGAAAGCCACGGCUAACUACGUG
Molecule: ribosomal RNA, 497 nt
Filed under: uncultured bacterium
Lineage: Bacteria
Description: partial 16S ribosomal RNA
Rfam family: Bacterial small subunit ribosomal RNA
Source: RNAcentral